RNAcentral lists this ribosomal RNA (497 nucleotides) under uncultured bacterium. RNAcentral's name for it is "partial 16S ribosomal RNA". It matches the Rfam family "Bacterial small subunit ribosomal RNA", at positions 28 to 507 of the family's 1533-position model. The record is from RNAcentral.
GACGAACGCUGGCGGCGUGCCUAAUACAUGCAAGUAGAACGCUGAAGAGAGGAGCUUGCUCUUCUUGGAUGAGUUGCGAACGGGUGAGUAACGCGUAGGUAACCUGCCUUGUAGCGGGGGAUAACUAUUGGAAACGAUAGCUAAUACCGCAUAACAAUAGGUGACACAUGUCAUUUAUUUGAAAGGGGCAAUUGCUCCACUACAAGAUGGACCUGCGUUGUAUUAGCUAGUAGGUGAGGUAACGGCUCACCUAGGCGACGAUACAUAGCCGACCUGAGAUGGUGAUCGGCCACACUGGGACUGAGACACGGCCCAGACUCCUACGGGAGGCAGCAGUAGGGAAUCUUCGGCAAUGGGGGCAACCCUGACCGAGCAACGCCGCGUGAGUGAAGAAGGUUUUCGGAUCGUAAAGCUCUGUUGUAAGUCAAGAACGAGUGUGAGAGUGGAAAGUUCACACUGUGACGGUAGCUUACCAGAAAGGGACGGCUAACUACGUG